ACAGUCACCGAAGAAAUGAAGUUACAGGAGGGCGCACCGUCCUUUUGUCUCUGCCUUUGAGGUUGGUGGGAACUGAAACUGCAGAGCAUGGGGGUCCCUCGUACCCCUUCACGGACAGUGCUCUUCGAGCGGGAGAGGACGGGCCUGACCUACCGCGUGCCCUCGCUGCUCCCCGUGCCCCCCGGGCCCACCCUGCUGGCCUUUGUGGAGCAGCGGCUCAGCCCUGACGACUCCCACGCCCACCGCCUGGUGCUGAGGAGGGGCACGCUGGCUGGGGGCUCCGUGCGGGUGAGUGAGUGGCCGGGGGCUCUGUGUGGGUGUAGUGGCCGGAUCUGCUGGGGCUGCACACCCCGAGACAGGGGUGGGGGUGGUGGCGGCAGGCAGAUGCCCGAGGUAGAGAUGAGCAAACCAGGCUCAGCGAUCCUGGGUGCCCUGCGGGGGGCUGUGCCCAGGUCCCUGGACGUCCUGGUCAGCGGAACUUCCUCCUCUGGGCAGUGGGGUGCCCUGCACGUGCUGGGGACAGCGGCCCUGGCGGA
Molecule: small RNA, 536 nt
Filed under: Pan troglodytes (chimpanzee)
Lineage: Eukaryota; Metazoa; Chordata; Mammalia; Primates; Hominidae
Description: retained intron
Source: RNAcentral